GUUUCUGUGUGUGUGUGUGUGUGUGUGUGUGUGUGUGUGUGUGUGUGUGUGUGUGUGUGUGUGUGAGGGAGGGGGGGGGGAGACGACGACGUGGGAAUGUGUGUGUUUAUGUAGAGAGAGAGGGAGAGAGAGAUUUGAGCGGCACUUUAUUUGCAAACUACUGGCUGAGUUCCCACUAGAGGCAGCGAGAUCAGACUGUGUGUGCGUGUGUGUGUGUGUGUGUGUGUGUGUGUCUGGGAGAAACAUCAGCCGAGACGGGCAGACAGAAGGAAGGAGAGAAAGAGAAGGAGCGAGAAAGAGAGAAAGAGGAGGGGGCGAGAGGAACUCGUUCAACCCAUUUGGGCGACAACUUUCCGGCCCGUCCCCAUGAGGUCUCGCUGCGAGUCUGGAAGGUUUGGGAGCUCGUGUGUUUGAAUCGUGCCGGUUUCACGCCGCGGGAACUUUGCCCGCACUUUAGGUCGACGACGAGCAAAAACGAACGACUUUGGUUCUGCAAAAGACGUGAAACCCCAAAAACUGAGGAACAGAUUUUAUUUCUUGGUGCCAACGGGGAACAUUCAACGCUGUCGGUGAGUUUGAGCUGCGACUAAACCAUCGACCGUUGACUGUACCCUGAGGGACACCACGGAGACGUCUGCCAGCAGAGACAUCACGCAAAGACGAACACGGGAACGACACGUCAAACCUACAGGCUGCGAUAAACAUUCAUUGCUGUCGGUGGGUUUUUAAUGAGAACAACUCACUGAUCAAUGAAUGCAGACUGCGGCUCACACAGCACAGACAACGCAGCAAAGAGCCCGAGGCGCGAGCGGUGCUCAGGAAAAUACGGUAAACUGGAUAAAUCAGGUCUAUGAGGACAAACGGAGCAUAAAGAUCUCUGAAAACACUAAAAUUACACUAAUUUCCAUCCAUUUAAUAGAUUGAAAAGAGAUACUUUAUACAUCUUCAAGUAGAGAUGUAACAAUUAAUCAUAAGGCAGUUAAAAUAGAUUCAUAGGUAUCACGUUCAUAUCGAUUUUCUGAAAAUUGAAUCGCAGUAGUUUUUUUAAACAGCAGAGGGCUAUAUAUUUAUCCUUCUCUUGUCCAAAUACUGAGGCGGCGGGCGGAAUCUGCUACUACUUUCUUUCUGGCUGCCUUCCACUCUUAAACAUGUUCAUAAAUGAUUCCUUACCCCUUUAGCACCGAAAGAAUAUCUGUAAUAUUACCUGAAUAUCUGUAAAAGUCAAGUUUUUCUAUUAGCUCUGUCUGCUAGCGUAGCAUCUCUUCUUCACUGCACAGAAUAGCUGCAUCGCAACCGACCACUGGGUCACCAGCGCCCUCUGCUGGUCCAAACUAAUAUCUGACUUAAAUACAGUGCAGACUGUUUUUUUUUUUUUUUUUAAGUCCAAUUGUUAAGGCCCACAAUACAUUUUCAGUUGCAGUUUUGAAAAGAAAAAUAAGUAUUAUGCAGUUUUGCAUUGUUUACUAUAGAACCAGAAUUUAAAUUAAUAGGCUUCUUCUACAUUUGUAUUAUUCCUUUAUUUAUUUCAUUCAAGAUUUAUUUUUAGUUAAAUUGCAUUGUUUUUAAUAGUUUAUCAAGGUAUUUUUUUAAAAAUUGAAAAAAAAAAAAAAAAAAAAAAAAACUACAGUAUUUUCCCCCCAAAAAAUAAAAGAAUAUUUUUCAAUCA
This is a long non-coding RNA of Gouania willdenowi (blunt-snouted clingfish), 1666 nucleotides long. NCBI's taxonomy places the organism in Eukaryota, Metazoa, Chordata, Actinopteri, Blenniiformes, Gobiesocidae. The record is from Ensembl.